GACGAACGCUGGCGGCGUGCCUAAUACAUGCAAGUCGAGCGAAUGACGAGAAGCUUGCUUCUCUGAUUUAGCGGCGGACGGGUGAGUAACACGUGGGCAACCUGCCCUACAGAUCGGGAUAACUCAGGGAAACCUGGGCUAAUACCGGAUAAUCCUUCGAAUCACAUGUUUUGAAGUUGAAAGGCGCUCAGGCGUCACUGUCGGAUGGGCCCGCGGUGCAUUAGCUAGUUGGUGGGGUAACGGCCUACCAAGGCAACGAUGCAUAGCCGACCUGAGAGGGUGAUCGGCCACAUUGGGACUGAGACACGGCCCAAACUCCUACGGGAGGCAGCAGUAGGGAAUCUUCCACAAUGGACGAAAGUCUGAUGGAGCAACGCCGCGUGAGUGAUGAAGGUUUUCGGAUCGUAAAACUCUGUUGUAAGGGAAGAACAAGUACGUUAGGAAAUGAACGUACCUUGACGGUACCUUAUUAGAAAGCCACGGCUAACUACGUGCCAGCCGCCGCCGUAA
RNAcentral lists this ribosomal RNA (510 nucleotides) under uncultured bacterium. RNAcentral describes it as "partial 16S ribosomal RNA". It matches the Rfam family "Bacterial small subunit ribosomal RNA", at positions 28 to 523 of the family's 1533-position model. The record is from RNAcentral.